AAAUAAAAAUAUGAUAAAUCUAGUAAGAAUUUAACUAAAGUAAUGAAGUUAAUAAAAAAAAAAAAAAAAAAAAAACAAAUAUGUUAAUGAUCACUUUGUAGCUAAUAUUCCGUUCGAAAACUAGUCUUCCCUUUUCAUUUACGAAAUCAGCAUCGUGAUUCUGUUGCUGAUACAAACAAUUUAAAAUGGCUUAGUCCUCCGGGUGUCAAAACACAAUUGCCACGUCUUAUAUGCCUCCUUACCCUGACAUCUUUUCUGAAGAUUCCAAAAUAACUGAUGAAAUAAAAUAUGACAUUCUUAAGAGACCAUGGACAUCAAUUUAUUCUUAUGAAACUGAACAUGUAUCUACCUUUCGUCGAUCAUUUGAUAGCAGAGUUGAAUACAAGACUUCUAACAGUAGAGCCACGUUAUGUCGCACAAAAGAUAAUCCCAAAAAACAUUGACCAACUUACUUUAGCUGUUGGGGACAUAAUCUUUAAUGAAAUGCAGAUGAUGGCAUGCCCAUGUUACAAAAGACGAAUUUCAAGAUCGAAAUUCGGAGAUGGUUAACAAAAUGGACUGGAUAUUUUGAUAACAUUCCUAACAAGCUGCAGGAAACAUUAAAUGUUAUAAACCAAGGAUACCCGGAAU
This 630-nucleotide long non-coding RNA is filed under the name Mytilus galloprovincialis (Mediterranean mussel). Lineage: Eukaryota; Metazoa; Mollusca; Bivalvia; Mytilida; Mytilidae. The record is from RNAcentral.